UUAAGCGACUAAGCGUACACGGUGGAUGCCCUGGCAGUCAGAGGCGAUGAAGGGCGUGCUAAUCUGCGAUAAGCGCCGGUAAGGUGAUAUGAACCGUUAUAACCGGCGAUACCCGAAUGGGGAAACCCAGUGUGACUCGUCACACUAUCAUUAACUGAAUCCAUAGGUUAAUGAGGCGAACCGGGGGAACUGAAACAUCUAAGUACCCCGAGGAAAAGAAAUCAACCGAGAUUCCCCCAGUAGCGGCGAGCGAACGGGGAGGAGCCCAGAGCCUGAAUCAGCAUGUGUGUUAGUGGAAGCGUCUGGAAAGGCGCGCGAUACAGGGUGACAGCCCCGUACACAAAAGCGCAUGUGCUGUGAGCUCGAUGAGUAGGGCGGGACACGUGGUAUCCUGUCUGAAUAUGGGGGGACCAUCCUCCAAGGCUAAAUACUCCUGACUGACCGAUAGUGAACCAGUACCGUGAGGGAAAGGCGAAAAGAACCCCGGCGAGGGGAGUGAAAAAGAACCUGAAACCGUGUACGUACAAGCAGUGGGAGCACAGGUUUACCUGUGUGACUGCGUACCUUUUGUAUAAUGGGUCAGCGACUUAUAUUCUGUAGCAAGGUUAACCGAAUAGGGGAGCCGGAGGGAAACCGAGUCUUAAUUGGGCGUUAAGUUGCAGGGUAUAGACCCGAAACCCGGUGAUCUAGCCAUGGGCAGGUUGAAGGUUGGGUAACACUAACUGGAGGACCGAACCGACUAAUGUUGAAAAAUUAGCGGAUGACCUGUGGCUGGGGGUGAAAGGCCAAUCAAACCGGGAGAUAGCUGGUUCUCCCCGAAAGCUAUUUAGGUAGCGCCUCGUGAACUCAUCUCCGGGGGUAGAGCACUGUUUCGGCUAGGGGGCCAUCCCGGCUUACCAACCCGAUGCAAACUGCGAAUACCGGAGAAUGUUAUCACGGGAGACACACGGCGGGUGCUAACGUCCGUCGUGAAGAGGGAAACAACCCAGACCGCCAGCUAAGGUCCCAAAGUCAUGGUUAAGUGGGAAACGAUGUGGGAAGGCCCAGACAGCCAGGAUGUUGGCUUAGAAGCAGCCAUCAUUUAAAGAAAGCGUAAUAGCUCACUGGUCGAGUCGGCCUGCGCGGAAGAUGUAACGGGGCUAAACCAUGCACCGAAGCUGCGGCAGCGACACUGUGUGUUGUUGGGUAGGGGAGCGUUCUGUAAGCCUGUGAAGGUGGCCUGUGAGGGUUGCUGGAGGUAUCAGAAGUGCGAAUGCUGACAUAAGUAACGAUAAAGCGGGUGAAAAGCCCGCUCGCCGGAAGACCAAGGGUUCCUGUCCAACGUUAAUCGGGGCAGGGUGAGUCGACCCCUAAGGCGAGGCCGAAAGGCGUAGUCGAUGGGAAACGGGUUAAUAUUCCCGUACUUGGUGUUACUGCGAAGGGGGGACGGAGAAGGCUAUGUUGGCCGGGCGACGGUUGUCCCGGUUUAAGCGUGUAGGUGUGUGUUCCAGGUAAAUCCGGUUCACUUUAACACUGAGGCGUGAUGACGAGGCACUACGGUGCUGAAGCAACAAAUGCCCUGCUUCCAGGAAAAGCCUCUAAGCAUCAGGUAACAUCAAAUCGUACCCCAAACCGACACAGGUGGUCAGGUAGAGAAUACCAAGGCGCUUGAGAGAACUCGGGUGAAGGAACUAGGCAAAAUGGUGCCGUAACUUCGGGAGAAGGCACGCUGACACGUAGGUGAAGUGAUUUACUCAUGGAGCUGAAGUCAGUCGAAGAUACCAGCUGGCUGCAACUGUUUAUUAAAAACACAGCACUGUGCAAACACGAAAGUGGACGUAUACGGUGUGACGCCUGCCCGGUGCCGGAAGGUUAAUUGAUGGGGUCAGCGCAAGCGAAGCUCCUGAUCGAAGCCCCGGUAAACGGCGGCCGUAACUAUAACGGUCCUAAGGUAGCGAAAUUCCUUGUCGGGUAAGUUCCGACCUGCACGAAUGGCGUAAUGAUGGCCAGGCUGUCUCCACCCGAGACUCAGUGAAAUUGAACUCGCUGUGAAGAUGCAGUGUACCCGCGGCAAGACGGAAAGACCCCGUGAACCUUUACUAUAGCUUGACACUGAACAUUGAGCCUUGAUGUGUAGGAUAGGUGGGAGGCUUUGAAGUGUGGACGCCAGUCUGCAUGGAGCCGACCUUGAAAUACCACCCUUUAAUGUUUGAUGUUCUAACGUGGACCCGUGAUCCGGGUUGCGGACAGUGUCUGGUGGGUAGUUUGACUGGGGCGGUCUCCUCCUAAAGAGUAACGGAGGAGCACGAAGGUUGGCUAAUCCUGGUCGGACAUCAGGAGGUUAGUGCAAUGGCAUAAGCCAGCUUGACUGCGAGCGUGACGGCGCGAGCAGGUGCGAAAGCAGGUCAUAGUGAUCCGGUGGUUCUGAAUGGAAGGGCCAUCGCUCAACGGAUAAAAGGUACUCCGGGGAUAACAGGCUGAUACCGCCCAAGAGUUCAUAUCGACGGCGGUGUUUGGCACCUCGAUGUCGGCUCAUCACAUCCUGGGGCUGAAGUAGGUCCCAAGGGUAUGGCUGUUCGCCAUUUAAAGUGGUACGCGAGCUGGGUUUAGAACGUCGUGAGACAGUUCGGUCCCUAUCUGCCGUGGGCGCUGGAGAACUGAGGGGGGCUGCUCCUAGUACGAGAGGACCGGAGUGGACGCAUCACUGGUGUUCGGGUUGUCAUGCCAAUGGCACUGCCCGGUAGCUAAAUGCGGAAGAGAUAAGUGCUGAAAGCAUCUAAGCACGAAACUUGCCCCGAGAUGAGUUCUCCCUGAGACUUAGAGUCUCCUGAAGGAACGUUGAAGACGACGACGUUGAUAGGCCGGGUGUGUAAGCGCAGCGAUGCGUUGAGCUAACCGGUACUAAUGAACCGUGAGGCUUAACCUU
This 2905-nucleotide ribosomal RNA is filed under the name Salmonella enterica. RNAcentral's name for it is "bacterial LSU rRNA". It matches the Rfam family "Bacterial large subunit ribosomal RNA". Lineage: Bacteria; Pseudomonadati; Pseudomonadota; Gammaproteobacteria; Enterobacterales; Enterobacteriaceae. The record is from RNAcentral.